GAUGAAGAACGAAGCGAAAUGCGAUAAGUAAUGUGAAUUGCAGAAUCCAGUGAAUCAUCGAAUCUUUGAACGCACAUUGCGCCCGCCAGCAUUCUGGCGGGCAUGCCUGUUCGAGCGUCAUUUCAACCCUCGACCUCCCUUUGGGGAAGUCGGCGUUGGGGACCGGCAGCACACCGCCGGCCCUGAAAUGGAGUGGCGGCCCGUCCGCGGCGACCUCUGCGUAGUAAACCAACUCGCACCGGAACCCCGACGUGGCCACGCCGUAAAACACCCAACUUCUGAACGUUGACCUCGAAUCAGGUAGGACUACCCGCUGAACUUAAGCAUAUCAAUAAGCGGAGGA
RNAcentral lists this unclassified non-coding RNA (343 nucleotides) under soil metagenome. RNAcentral describes it as "partial contains 5.8S ribosomal RNA, internal transcribed spacer 2, and large subunit ribosomal RNA". The stretch from base 1 to 120 matches the Rfam family "5.8S ribosomal RNA", at positions 35 to 154 of the family's 154-position model. The record is from RNAcentral.